AUUGAACGCUGGCGGCAUGCCUUACACAUGCAAGUCGAACGGCAGCACGGGAGCAAUCCUGGUGGCGAGUGGCGAACGGGUGAGUAAUAUAUCGGAACGUGCCCAGUCGUGGGGGAUAACGUAGCGAAAGCUACGCUAAUACCGCAUACGAUCUAUGGAUGAAAGCGGGGGAUCGCAAGACCUCGCGCGAUUGGAGCGGCCGAUAUCAGAUUAGGUAGUUGGUGAGGUAAAGGACUCACCAAGCCGACGAUCUGUAGCUGGUCUGAGAGGACGACCAGCCACACUGGGACUGAGACACGGCCCAGACUCCUACGGGAGGCAGCAGUGGGGGAAUUUUUGGACAAUGGGCGCAAGCCUGAUCCAGCAAUGCCGCGUGAGUGAUGAAGGCC
RNAcentral lists this ribosomal RNA (389 nucleotides) under uncultured bacterium. RNAcentral describes it as "bacterial SSU rRNA". It matches the Rfam family "Bacterial small subunit ribosomal RNA", at positions 30 to 416 of the family's 1533-position model. The record is from RNAcentral.